Molecule: non-coding RNA, 1191 nt
Organism: Equus caballus (horse)
Lineage: Eukaryota; Metazoa; Chordata; Mammalia; Perissodactyla; Equidae
Source: RefSeq, a predicted model, not a curated record
UGCCGCUCCCCGAGCACUCCGGGCAGGCGGCCGGCCGGGCUUGGGGUCCCCCUCUCCCUCGCGGGCGGCCGGGGCGGAGUCCCCGAGUCCCCUCCGCCUCGGCAGGAGGCGCGUCUGGAACUCGGGAGCGGGCGGGACGCUUGCCGGCCUCUGAGAUCAUCGGGUUCGAAUCCCAGCUCCGCCAGAGCUACUCCGCGACGCUGGACCUCCUGUCUCGGAGCCUCAGUUUCCCCUCUAGGGUGAGGCACCCGGGAAGCGGGGGAAUGGUGGCAGUGCUCUUUACUAUCCCAACCCCCGGGCAGCCCACGGGUGCCCUGCACGGAGCAGCCAGACGCUCAGCAAGGGCUGUUGGAUAACUGGCGAGAGUUUUCUGAAAUCAAAAGCUGAAACCUCCUCUUUUCCCAAAUUGCCACUCUUUGCCUAGCGUGUCCCGGGCAUCGCCUGGGAGCUGCUUGGAAAUGCAGCUUCUCCGGUCACCCAGGACCUGCCGAAUCAGACCUGCUGGCGGAGCCCAGCAAUCCGGGCGUGAACAGGUCCCCGGGGUGAUGCUGCUGCGCGGGAAAGGCUGGGCCCCGCUGCUCCGGGCGAUUGAUAGUGAGGAAGAUUGACCCUGAGCUAACAUCUGUGCCACUCUUCCUCCACUUUGUAUAUGGGACGCCAUCACAGCAUGGCUUGAUGAGCAGUGUGUCGGUCUGCACCUGGGCUCUGAACUCAUGAACUCUGGGCUGACACAGUCUUGAUUAUUGUAUUUUAUGUGGAAGAGGACCUGGAAUGUUUGUGGUGACUGUGUUCACCUCCUUUUGGCGCUCCAUCCAGGCACAAAUCCCUGCUAUGUGCAGGAAUUGUGUGGCGCUCCCAGGCUGCCCCACGAUGAGGAGCAAAGCAGGUUGUGCUGCCUGUGUGACCACCAGGACAAGAUUCAGAGGAAGCCAAGUCUCCCAGCUUGGAAAGAGAGGUAAAUGUUCUGGCUGAAGCCCAAAGUUCACGGGAAGCCUAGGACUGAUACACUAAUCUCCAGCACAUCUGAGCACUUCUCUUUCCACUUGUUGAGUUAUAUACUUACCAAAAGUCAACCUUGAUUGUCCACAGAAUAGUUCAUAUCUAUUGUGACUGCUAUUGUCAGUACAUAAUUUAGCUAAAUAUUAUGUGAAAAUGAUAAAUCUCAAAAAUAAAAUUAUUAUUUCUUGGAAA